UUUUAGCCCUGAUAGUAGUGAAAAUCCUUUAUUCUCUCCCGUCUUUAGGGAGAGAAUAAAGAUUGUAACGGAUAGCAGGAUUAGCU
Molecule: small RNA, 86 nt
Filed under: Flavobacterium crassostreae
Lineage: Bacteria; Pseudomonadati; Bacteroidota; Flavobacteriia; Flavobacteriales; Flavobacteriaceae
Description: Flavo-1 RNA
Rfam family: Flavo-1 RNA
Source: Rfam by way of RNAcentral